This 101-nucleotide non-coding RNA is filed under the name unclassified sequences. The record is from Rfam.
GAGAUCGGACAGCGCAGGAAACUGCGUGAAACUCGCCUGUAAUUCCGGCAUCAUCACACCAGUGAUGUGGCGACUGCCCUUGCUGCUGCGGCAGUGAUUUU